Molecule: ribosomal RNA, 240 nt
Filed under: uncultured bacterium
Lineage: Bacteria
Description: partial 16S ribosomal RNA
Rfam family: Bacterial small subunit ribosomal RNA
Source: RNAcentral
GCGGACGGGUGAGUAAUGCUUGGGAAUCUGCCUAGUCGAGGGGGACAACAGUUGGAAACGACUGCUAAUACCGCAUACGACCUACGGGUGAAAGGGGGCCUCUUCUUGAAAGCUCUCGCGACUAGAUGAGCCCAAGUGGGAUUAGCUUGUUGGUGAGGUAAAGGCUCACCAAGGCGACGAUCCCUAGCUGGUCUGAGAGGAUGAUCAGCCACACUGGAACUGAGACACGGUCCAGACUCC